GACGAACGCUGGCGGCGUGCCUAAUACAUGCAAGUAGAACGCUGAAGGAGGAGCUUGCUUCUCUGGAUGAGUUGCGAACGGGUGAGUAACGCGUAGGUAACCUGCCUGGUAGCGGGGGAUAACUAUUGGAAACGAUAGCUAAUACCGCAUAACAGUAGAUAUCGCAUGAUAUCUACUUGAAAGGUGCAAUUGCAUCACUACCAGAUGGACCUGCGUUGUAUUAGCUAGUUGGUGAGGUAACGGCUCACCAAGGCGACGAUACAUAGCCGACCUGCGAGGGUGAUCGGCCACACUGGGACUGAGACACGGCCCAGACUCCUACGGGAGGCAGCAGUAGGGAAUCUUCGGCAAUGGACGGAAGUCUGACCGAGCAACGCCGCGUGAGUGAAGAAGGUUUUCGGAUCGUAAAGCUCUGUUGUAAGAGAAGAACGAGUGUGAGAGUGGAAAGUUCACACUGUGACGGUAUCUUACCAGAAAGGGACGGCUAACUACGUG
RNAcentral lists this ribosomal RNA (495 nucleotides) under uncultured bacterium. Its description in RNAcentral is "partial 16S ribosomal RNA". It matches the Rfam family "Bacterial small subunit ribosomal RNA", at positions 28 to 507 of the family's 1533-position model. The record is from RNAcentral.